RNAcentral lists this long non-coding RNA (2192 nucleotides) under Zea mays. RNAcentral's name for it is "long non-coding RNA (ZMAY_LNC002754)". Lineage: Eukaryota; Viridiplantae; Streptophyta; Magnoliopsida; Poales; Poaceae. The record is from RNAcentral.
AUUAUUAAUUGGCUAGCAAGGAAAGAUAAACGUACGACCGAAACUGAAUUAACCAGUGCGCACGACUAUAUAAAAAACAAACUUCCUUUGACAAUAAGUUUCUAAUUAAAACAUGGCUGCGCCUAGGCAGCGUUAUUGUGAGAGUGUAAGUGGACGUGCUGCUACUCCCCUCAUUCCCAACAUGUAUCAAGUACCUGCAUUGAGUAAUGCAAGAGUGAGAUGACACAUCUCAGCAAGUAAAAUAAUAUCAAACUAUUCAACCACAUAAGAACAUUGUUUUACCACCACCUGAUUCCACAACCUUCUUAUUACCAAGGUGCAUCACGUAUACAACGUACAACACACCUAGUUACCACACCUCGCAGGUAGAAAACCACAAUAGUAACAUAGUAAUGUCACACUUCAUAUAUUCCUCAUGAAUGCAAAUGUCUGCAAAUGCAAGGAUGACUUCUGCCUUCAUACCUCUAAGGAUAUGAAGCUGCAUCGUACCCCUCCUCGGGCAACGUACGAUGCUAAAAAUGUACCGGUACGGUCGGACCAUAAGAUCACGACAUAACUUCAAAAUGCAAGAUGGAUGAUGUGAUGUGCAUGUCAUGCCUACAACACUUCAUAUAACGUGAUUCAAAAAGAUACUUCAACUUCAUCUAAGAUGGGAAUCAACCACAUAUAUCAUAACCAAAUUAUGAUCAUCCACAAUAUUAGACAAUUGAGAAUUAAUACUUCCAAACAAAUAAACUUCAUCAUAGAAUUCAAUGAUUAACAUAAUUAAAAACUUAAGCAUACUCAAUGACAGGGAAUAGGAUGCAAACCAAACGGUAGCAACCACCACUAUAUUUACUUGCCUUUACCGGAAGUUCGGGCAAAUCCAUAAGUACGAUCCGGAAGUCCACCACCUGUUUUUGACAUACAACUUAGUGCACCUAUUUCACAUAAUCAGGCUCAUAAACGACGCCGCACCUACGCACAAACUUAAACCCCGCCGCGGGUUACAUCUCUCCCCACACCCACCAAACUGCAGCGGCGCUGCUUAAUAAUUUCAUAACCUUAAAAUUAUGACAACAGUGGUAACAAACAAAAACUCCAGAGGCAUCUACAUAAAAUUCCCCACAAGUUUUGUAUACAAUUUAUAAUUAAAUUCUAACAUCUAAUUAGCCUAAAACAGUCCACAAGAUGAACCCUGUAAUCUGUUUUUUUGUCUUUUGGACAGCGACAUACCCGGAUUCAAACAGCGAUAUCUUUUAAAAUAUAAUUCCAAAUCAAGCGCAUAAGUACUCAUUAGAAAGAUAAGACAAAGCCCUACAUGAUUAUCAUACUGGUUAACAGUAAUUACCCACGAAAAAUUCACAGAAACUGCUAAUACUACUGUUGUUCAUCCACCUGAAAAUCUGUUUUUUGGACAGCAACAUAACCGGAUUCAAACAACGAUAUCUCCUAAAUUAUAACUCCGAGUCGAGCGCAUAAGUACUCGUUGGAAAGGUAUGACAAAGCUCUACAUGAUUCUCAUAUUGAUUAUCACUAAUUUCCCACGAAAAAUCCCCAGAAACUGCUAAUACUACUGCUGUUCAUCCACCUGAAAAUCUGUUUUUUUGGACAGCAACAUAACCGGAUUCAAACAACGAUAUCUCCUAAAUUAUAACUCCAAAUCGAGCGCAUAAGUACUCGUUGGAAAGGUAUGACAAAGCUCUACAUGAUUCUCCCACUGAUCCCCACUAAUUGCCCACGAAAAAUUCCCAGAAACUGCUAAUACUACUGCUGUUCAUCCACCUGAAAAUCUGUUUUUUUUGGACAGCAACAUAACCGGAUUCAAACAACGAUAUCUCCUAAAUUAUAACUCCAAAUCGAGCGCAUAAGUACUCGUUGGAAAGGUAUGACAAAGCUCUACAUGAUUCUCCCACUGAUCCCCACUAAUUGCCCACGAAAAAUUCCCAGAAACCCCUAGAACUACUGCUGUUCAUCCUCCCACAAAAAAUCUGGACAGCACCUAUACCGAUUCGCAUAGGUAAACAUGUAAACAAUUGGAUUGCAGCACAAAUACUAAAAAGAAUGAUCUUAAAAUCACCUUGGGUUCCUCCUUUCCUCCUUCCAUUCUUCCUUCUUCCUCCCUCCAAACUCCAAUGGAAGACUCACACCCACACGACGGGGUACCAAGCGGGGAGGAUGCACCAUGGAGAGGAGGGGGCGGCUAGGGUUGA